RNAcentral lists this ribosomal RNA (252 nucleotides) under uncultured bacterium. RNAcentral describes it as "partial 16S ribosomal RNA". It matches the Rfam family "Bacterial small subunit ribosomal RNA", at positions 524 to 776 of the family's 1533-position model. The record is from RNAcentral.
UACAGAGGUUGCAAGCGUUAAUCGGAAUUACUGGGCGUAAGCGCGCGUAGGUGGCAAGUUAAGUCGGAUGUGAAAGCCCUGGGCUCAACCUAGGAAUUGCAUUCGAUACUGGCUAGCUCGAGUUUGGUAGAGGAGAGUGGAAUUCCAGGUGUAGCGGUGAAAUGCGUAGAUAUCUGGAGGAACAUCAGUGGCGAAGGCGACACCCUGGACUCAUACUGACACUGAGGUGCGAAAGCGUGGGGAGCAAACAGG